This 70-nucleotide transfer RNA is filed under the name Marmota monax (woodchuck). RNAcentral's name for it is "tRNA.Val". Lineage: Eukaryota; Metazoa; Chordata; Mammalia; Rodentia; Sciuridae. The record is from RNAcentral.
GGGGAACAGCUCAGUGGUAAAGUACUUGACUAACAUUACCGAGGCCCUGGGUUUGAUCCCCAGUACCACA